UACAGGGGGUGCAAACGCUGCUCGGAAUCAUUGGGCGUAAAGCGCACGUAGGCGGUUCGUUAUGUCGGAUGUGAAAGCCCCUGGCUUAACCGAGGAAGUGCAUCCGAAACUGGCGAGCUAGAGUACGAAAGAGGAUCGCGGAAUUCCCGGUGUAGAGGUGAAAUUCGUAGAUAUCGGGAGGAACACCGGUGGCGAAGGCGGCGAUCUGGGUCGAUACUGACGCUGAGGUGCGAAAGCGUGGGUAGCAAACAGG
RNAcentral lists this ribosomal RNA (253 nucleotides) under uncultured bacterium. RNAcentral describes it as "partial 16S ribosomal RNA". It matches the Rfam family "Bacterial small subunit ribosomal RNA", at positions 524 to 776 of the family's 1533-position model. The record is from RNAcentral.